RNAcentral lists this ribosomal RNA (435 nucleotides) under Triticum aestivum (bread wheat). Its description in RNAcentral is "partial small subunit ribosomal RNA". Lineage: Eukaryota; Viridiplantae; Streptophyta; Magnoliopsida; Poales; Poaceae. The record is from RNAcentral.
AUGCAGGAGGAGUACAGGGCACUGAUGAGCAACCGAACGUGGGAGCUAGUUCCGCGGCCGCCCGGCGCGAACAUCGUCAGCGGCAAAUGGUUGUUUCGGCACAAGCUCCGCGCCGACGGCAGUCUAGAGCGCUACAAAGCGCGCUGGGUCGUGCGUGGCUUCUCGCAACGCCCCGGCGUCGACUUCUCGGAGACCUUCAGCCCGGUGGUGAAGUCCGCCACGGUGCGCGCCGUCCUCGCCAUCGCCGCCUCCCGCGAUUGGCCCGUACAUCAAAUGGACGUCAACAACGCCUUCUUGCAAGGGCACUUGCGCGAGCGUGUCUACUGCCAGCAGCCUGUGGGUUUCGUCGACGACAGCCGCCCCGAGCAUGUCUGCCUGCUCGACAAAUCCUUGUACGGCCUCAAGCAGGCGCCGCGUGCCUGGUACGAGCGGUUC